UACGUAGGAGGCGAGCGUUGUCCGGAUUUACUGGGCGUAAAGCGCGCGCAGGCGGCAGUGCAAGUAAGGUGUGAAAUCUCCCUGCUCAACGGGGAGGGUGCACUUUAGACUGCACAGCUCGAGGUCGGUAGAGGGGGGUGGAAUUGCUGGUGUAGCGGUGAGAUGCGUAGAGAUCAGCAGGAACACCCGUGGCGAAGGCGGCCCCCUGGGCCGUACCUGACGCUGAGGCGCGAAGGCUAGGGGAGCGAACGGG
RNAcentral lists this ribosomal RNA (253 nucleotides) under uncultured bacterium. Its description in RNAcentral is "partial 16S ribosomal RNA". It matches the Rfam family "Bacterial small subunit ribosomal RNA", at positions 524 to 776 of the family's 1533-position model. The record is from RNAcentral.